AGAGUUUGAUCAUGGCUCAGAACGAACGCUGGCGGCAGGCUUAACACAUGCAAGUCGAACGAUAUAGUGGCAGACGGGUGAGUAACGCGUGGAAACGUGCCUUUCACUACGGAAUAGCUUUUGGAAACGAAAGGUAAUACCGUAUACGCCCUCCGGGGGAAAGAUUUAUCGGUGAAAGAUCGGUCCGCGUUAGAUUAGCUAGUUGGUGAGGUAACGGCUCACCAAGGCUACGAUCUAUAGCUGGUCUGAGAGGAUGAUCAGCCACACUGGGACUGAGACACGGCCCAGACUCCUACGGGAGGCAGCAGUGGGGAAUAUUGCACAAUGGGCGCAAGCCUGAUGCAGCCAUGCCGCGUGAAUGAUGAAGGCCUUAGGGUUGUAAAAUUCUUUCGCCAAGGAUGAUAAUGACAGUACUUGGUAAAGAAGCCCCGGCUAACUUCGUGCCAGCAGCCGCGGUAAUACGAAGGGGGCUAGCGUUGUUCGGAAUUACUGGGCGUAAAGCGCACGUAGGCGGACUUUUAAGUCAGAUGUGAAAUCCCGAGGCUCAACCUCGGAACUGCAUUUGAAACUGGGAGUCUAGAGAUCAGGAGAGGUUAGCGGAAUACCGAGUGUAGAGGUGAAAUUCGUAGAUAUUCGGUGGAACACCAGUGGCGAAGGCGGCUAACUGGACUGAUACUGACGCUGAGGUGCGAAAGUGUGGGGAGCAAACAGGAUUAGAUACCCUGGUAGUCCACACCGUAAACGAUGAGUGCUAGUUGUCUGCAGGCAUGCCUGUAGGUGACGCAGCUAACGCAUUAAGCACUCCGCCUGGGGAGUACGGCCGCAAGGUUAAAACUCAAAGAAAUUGACGGGGGCCCGCACAAGCGGUGGAGCAUGUGGUUUAAUUCGAAGCAACGCGCAGAACCUUACCUACGCUUGACAUGCCUGGACGACUCCGAGAGAUCGGUUUCUCCCUUCGGGGCCAGUGCACAGGUGCUGCAUGGCUGUCGUCAGCUCGUGUCGUGAGAUGUUGGGUUAAGUCCCGCAACGAGCGCAACCCUCAUCCUUAGUUGCCAUCACGUUUGGGUGGGCACUCUAGGGAAACUGCCGGUGCUAAGCCGGAGGAAGGCGGGGAUGACGUCAAGUCCUCAUGGCCCUUACGCGUAGGGCUACACACGUGCUACAAUGGCAGUGACAAUGGGAUAAUCCCCAAAAGCUGUCUCAGUUCGGAUUGUCGGCUGCAACUCGCCGGCAUGAAGUUGGAAUCGCUAGUAAUCGUGGAUCAGCAUGCCACGGUGAAUACGUUCCCGGGCCUUGUACACACCGCCCGUCACACCAUGGGAGUUGGAUCUACCCGAAGAUUGUGAGCUAACUUCGGAGGCAGCAAGCCACGGUAGGUUCAGCGACUGGGGUGAAGUCGUAACAAGGUAACC
RNAcentral lists this ribosomal RNA (1412 nucleotides) under uncultured Hyphomonas sp. RNAcentral describes it as "bacterial SSU rRNA". It matches the Rfam family "Bacterial small subunit ribosomal RNA". The record is from RNAcentral. Lineage: Bacteria; Pseudomonadati; Pseudomonadota; Alphaproteobacteria; Hyphomonadales; Hyphomonadaceae.